Long non-coding RNA from Manis pentadactyla (Chinese pangolin), 7928 nucleotides. RefSeq lists it as uncharacterized. NCBI's taxonomy places the organism in Eukaryota, Metazoa, Chordata, Mammalia, Pholidota, Manidae. The transcript is spliced from 4 exons. The record is from RefSeq and is a predicted model, not a curated record.
UCCAGGUUUGUUUCUGCCUCUGAAAUAUCCUAAACUGGUUCUUGUAUCAGGAAACAAUUACUAAUGGGGUUUCAUUUGAAUCCAAAACAAAAGUUCCUAGGGGAACUGAGAAUCCCACUUAGGAGUUUAUGAAAUAAUAAAGCUGGAAAAGAAAAUCAUGGUUAGGGGACUGAGGGUGGGGACAGCAGAAGAUCUUGCUCCCCCCACUCUUUCUUGGAGCACAGAGAGCUUUAGGCGGUAUGUGACCUGAAAGCACCAGACUUAGGGUUCCGGGGAGGAGAUGAUGGAGUGCAGAGGUAACAGGACAGCCAGUGGCCAGAGAGUUGUGUGGCAGCCAAGCGGAAGCUCUGGUUGGCUGUCUCUCUUUAUUCAUUACCCAGACCUGCCAGAGAGGCAGGUCUCAGCUAUGUCAGGACACGUCCUACCUGUGUGAGAAGGGGGACUUUCCUCCAUAGCCCCCUAGAGCUCGGCCCUCAAUAGGACACCCAUUGGCAACCUGAGACUUUUAGGAGCCCUGUCUAAUCAUGCCACUUGAAAGCCACCCUGGACAUAUGGCGUGGAGUCCUCAGCCCCCUCAGAGAGGCAGUGACAGGUGGAACAGACAUAUAUGGGUGGAGAAGAAGAGCAGGCAAAGUCAUACCAUGUACACAACCUCACUAGCAAGAAUGGUAUCUAAUAGACAUUUAGUGCAUGGCUUGUCACAAAUAAGCCCAACCACUGUCUCGCUUCUAAUUUAGAGACCUCUUAUAAGAAUGUACUUCCUGGGGAACUCUGGCCUGACAAAAUAAAAUGUGGAAAGCUUUUUUAUAAUGUAGGGUUCCAAAAGGUAAAUAAGCUUGUAUAUUUGGCCAGCUGCUGAUGCUGCCAUCACUGCAGAAGAGCAGGCAGUGGGGCCAGCCCACAUCCAUGCAUUCUCACAUUUGACCCCUCAGGAAAUAAAUACUUUAUACUGUUUAAAGAGCCCUUAGCCUUCCUAGGCUCCUGGACACUCAUAACCUUCCUAUCAAAUUAUGGAAGCCAGGGGAGCACUGAGACGGGGCAGCAAGAAUCAACAUGAUGAAGACAUCUUGAAACUUAACUUGGUUUUUGAUUGUACAUCACCUCCUCCCAAAAAGGAACUCGCCAGUCCCAAAGGCCACCUAGUGGGAAGCUGCCACGGUGGUGCCUGACUCCACCCCAAGGAAAAAGAGGAAGAGGCUUUUUGUAUUUCAUCCUAACACUUCAGCAAGUUAUUAGGAACAUUAAUUAUCUAACCACUGCCUGGCCCUUAUUAGUUCUGCAAGGGCCAUAGUCCUCUGGUUCUUGGUAAAUACUCUGAGGCACCAGAUGGCCCAUUCCUUGGGAUGGUGGGCUUUCCAGUGGGUUGGGAAGUGUAUCCAGUGGCCCCGGGACCCAUUCCUUCACUCUACUCGCUGCUGGGUCUGUUAUAGAAAGCUGGCACGGACAGCUGCUUUCCUCUUUGUCAUGGGCAGCACGGCUGUGACAGCACACACACAGUCAGUCCCUGUGCUCUCCUCUUUCCUACUGCCAUUCCCACCUGCCUGAGCAUUUUUUUUCUUUUUCCUUUAUUUUUCCUGAUUCAUUUCAGUGACCCAUGAGGUACAGGAAGUUUAUGUUGCCCUGCUUCCUUGCUCUAAUGCUUAUUGCCUGCAAACACUGCUAUCUGGAAGCGGGACUGUAUCCUGGUUUCCAGAUCAUUUGACUUGACUUGUGAUUAUUAGUAACCAGAGAACUGAAGCAAACAGUGGUCUGCCUUCCAUUCUGCCUUCCACAAAAGGGUUAACCUUAAGGCACACAGAGCACAGCACUGGUCUCCCUCCAGUGCUCCCAGGCUGAUAGGCUGCAGGGCUUACCAUAUUAGGAGUGUGUGAAGGGAAAAUUCGGCUCCUGGUGUACACAGCAGGAGCUCUUCUGUCAGUCUACAGUGCAAGCUCUAUAUUUAGUAACAGGCACUUGGGAAUAGCAGCUUCAUGUGGGAGUGGGUUGCUGGAAUGCAGAUGUGUAGCGAAUCUCUACCCCAAUCCUCAUGGAGCCUUAAAACUGAAGCCCUAGGAGAGAGCUGGGCUCUUCCUCUACCUGCUCCAGGCUGUCUGGAUGACAUCUUUUGCGAAACAGGGAAGAAUGAUACAGUCCCUUUCAUGUAUGCUGCAUUUUAAUAUGAAGGAGAGGAAUUGUGAUAGUUGAACAACCAUCACUCAAAAUGUUGAAACUGAUUUUUCUCCCUCCAGGCCUUACCUCCUCUCCUAUAUCAGGUUAACUAACCACUAGUACGAUGAGUGGAAUAAUUUUAUUGACUUACGAUUUCUCUGUAUAGGAAAUAAAUAAAAUAGCUUCCCUUUGGUUUUGCAGGAAAUGUAUCUUUGGUACUACAAGAAUUUUAUUUCACAUUACAAGAAGCCCUUGGUUCUAAAAAUGUGUCUUCAUUUAUAAAAUAUAAUUGUAUAAAUAGAACAUAAGCAUUAUGUAUGAAAUGAUUUCUUAUAGGCCCAUACAAAUUUGCACAAUAUAGUAACACUCUGUGAGAAUAAAAAUUAAUUAAAAAUAGUCUUGUAGAUAAAAUUAUUAACUCAUUUGAUGAUAUGGAAGUAAGUGUCUUGUUUAAUCAACUUACCGUAGCUCUGUUUUAAGGGUAAUCUGUUUAUCCAGGAAUGAUCAGUUCCAGGGCAGCUUUUGUUCUCUUUCCUUCUCCCUCUCUCUUUCUCUCUGCUAAAUUUGCUGUUUCAACUGACCAAGACUUAAGGCAGAGAUGAAUGCAGUGAGGAAAUAGAAUGCUUAAGAAUUCAAGACAAGGGUCCAGGCAUAGACAAAUCAGCAAGAAUCUAGCUUCCAGAUAAUUAUAGUUCAUAAUAAUGAUUAUGAUAAUUAAUUUAUUGCCCAUUAUGUGCCAAGCCCUGAAAACACUGAGCUAAGCACAUGCGUGCACUGAAAUUUAUAGUAACCCUGUGAAGUGGAUUCUCUUAUUUUCAUCAUUAAAUAUAUGAGUAAACUGAGGCACAAAGAGGUACUUCGUUAAUAAGUGGUGGAGCUGAGUUUGAAAUCCAGGUCUCUGAGUAGAACCCCCUUAAUGACUUCACCAUACUGACUUCUCAGACACUACAGAUCUUGAACCAAGUUUAGGGCUUGAUCUUAGGAAAAAGGUGGAAACUCUGUUUCUAGCACUGUUAUUUUUCUCUGAAAGUUGGAUCUAAUGCUGUUAUUUGUGAGCAAAGUGCUUAUCAUAUGUAGCACAUUGGGUUAAGUGCGGGACCUACAGAGAUAAAUUUGACACAGCCCCUCAAGGAAUAUUGUGAUAGACAAAUACAUAAAUCAUAGCAUGAUGUGAUAAGUGCUUAUAGAACCAGAUAUUAAAUGCUGAUGGGCAGCUAAGGAUAAAGGGAACCAGAGAAAGCUUGAAGACGUGGUAUUUGAGGAGACUUGAGGGAACAAUAACAACUGCUAAGUGGACAAGUCAUUGAAGGGUAUUCUUGGUGGAGAGGGGAAAUUGCUUGGAAAUAUGAAUCAUCAAGUACCUACAAACAGCCUGGUAUAGGUGGAAUAGGGGGAAAUGAACCUAGAAAAGUAGUCUGAAGCCAUAUUACAAAAGGCCUUACAUGCCACAGUAAGGAGGUUAGCUUCCAUUGAAUUCUGAGCUACUGCUCCAAAACCUCCUUGUACUAAAGGUCAGGACUGAUCAUCAGGGAUGAUUCUGCAGGCCAGUGCUACAAAUGAUAGCUUGAAAUAAGGGAGAGAUUCUGAGAUAAGUAACUAGAAUAUCCUGUUAGGAUCUAAAUAAACAGGGUCCAAGCCAAAGAAUUUGUCCUGUGGGGUCAUAACUGUCUUUUGGGAUAAAUCAAUAAGUCAUCCUCCUUUGCCCUACAACACCCUUAGUCCAUUAGUCUGAGCUUCUAAUGAAAACUUGUCUCAGUAUUCAAGAAGAUUUCCAAUUUCCUUUUAACCUGCAAGAAGCUGAUUAAAUUAAGCACCAUUGACAUCUAGGUUCUUAAAAUAGAAACUCAUUUAAAGGGAUCAGCAGUCAGAAUAACACAUGUGGUGUCACCUUCUGGUUCCCCUUUCUGCCACCCUUGGUUCUAGAGACUGGAUAUUUUUCAUGGAUGAAGCUCUGUCAACUUGCAGGUUUCCCUACAAGAAGAAGUCGAACCUAUCUCUUUACCUUCUCAGUAGCUACUUGCUGAAAAAAGGAUAGAACCAGACUGACUCCUUUAACUUUAAUUUUACAUUGACUGUUUUACCUUUAAAUUCUGGAUUAAAAGUUCAAAUGAGCACUUGACAAUGUCCAGGAAUCCUACUGUGCUCCCACAGGAAACACACUGACCUGCUGAUGACAGUGAUGGCAUGCCGUCACCUCUUGCCCCCAGCUGGCCCACAUCUGCCUACUUCUCAGUUAAUGACCUCAUCUUUCAGGAAAAAGAAGCCCUCAGAGUAGAGAACCUGAUCUCCCUCCUUCAAGAGAAGAGCCUCUGCUCUGAGGGCAGGCGAGCUGCCAUGCUGUGAGCUGCACUAUGGAGAAGGCCACCAGGCAAGCACCUGAGGGAUCAAAGCUAGGGAAGAACUGAAACCUGCAGCCCAAAAGGCCACAAAGAGCUGAAUCAUGCCACCCACCAGUUUGGAAGCAGAUCAUCCUGCAGUAAAGCCUUCAAGGAGCCCACGUGCUAGCCAGUGACCUAACUGUAAUCCUCCUAAAGAUGUUGAGCCAGAGGCACUCAGCUGGGCCUCACCCUGAUGCUUGAGCCACUAAAACUGUGUUUGUUGUUUUAAGCCAUUAAGUUUGGGGUUAAUUUUGUUAAUCAGCAAUAGCUGACCAAUACAGAGACCUAGAGAGUUUAGGCAUAAUUGCCCCAAAUUCAUCCCCACAGUGCUUCCCUAUCAGUUACCUCGCUGUGAAGGGAAUGGAAAAAGAAGUGAAGUGGUGAAAGUAGGAAAGACACUUAGGAACAGAUGCUUUCUUACCUCUUCCCCUUUUUCAAGCACAUCAAAGAGAAGGCAUUAGUCCCACUGAAGAUGCCAUCUUGCUACAACCUCAAGAUAGAGAAAAAUUGCAAUAAUUUUAGAUAUUUGCAGCAAUGACUCAAGAAGGAAGCAGACAUUUUUCCCCCACUACUACCCCUAUCCUUCUCCAUCUUGCACCUCUGGCAUUUUCCCUAAGGUUGUCAUCCUUGCAGAAACAGCUGCAGAAGCAGAAAUGGAGGGCACAGGAGGCAUCCAGGAGUAGUGAAGUGAGAACAAAAGGAUGGUGGAGCAGAAGUGCUGUGUUUUAUUUCUUUUUCUGCCUCAGUGUAGUUCUUAGCACAACAUGAGUUCUUACCACACUGCCAACAUAAAUUAUGAGCUAAUUAUUUGGGCUCACAGAAAGACUUGUUCAGAUCUACUUUUACAAUUACCAGGGAAACAAAAUGAGAAUUGCAUCUCUGUAAGUUCUAGCUCUCAACUUUAUGGAAACACAUGUUGUUAGAAGGGGCCUUAUCAGUGAUACAAUGAAAAAUGUAUAAGCGAGAGAGAAUAUCUCAUUAGGACAAAGAGAAAAGAUACUACAGAGGUGUCCAGCAAACUCUCAGUUGUUUCACAGGUUAUGAUGAACACCUUAGAGUUACUCUGACGAAUGACAAAAGAUCUGAACUAUCACAACCUUCUGUCAGACCAGAAUGGACUUUCUUCCAUGUACCAAUAUUUUUUAGUGACAGCAAUGUAAACUUAAACAAAAGCAAAAAUAAAGCCUUGAUUUUAUUUAUUUAUUUUUUGGGUUACCUUCCAGGCAGCAGAGGCUAUAUGACAAAGUACUGACCAGUGAAGUGAAAGAAGAAGUCUAUGGUAGGGCUUUUAAGAAAAUACAGACUUCCUGAUUUAAAAAAAGGAAUAAACUUAACUGGCAUAUGCCUUUGCUCUUUCUUUCUUUCUUUUUUGCUUGACUGGAAUGCAGUUACAAUGUCUGAAGAUGCAGCAGCCAUUUUGUGACCAUUGGAAAAUCUACUUGCCAGGUACUGCAAAUGGACAAGAGAAGAAACCAGAUUGAUUCUCUGAGGGAAUCCUUAUGCCACUACCCUGCCACUGGGCUGCUACCUUCAGACCUGUUAUCUAAACAAAAUAAUCAUUUUACUUAACUAAUCCAUGAAAACACAGAAACUCAGAAAAAAAAGGAGGAAUUUUAUCCCCGUGAUCAGAGUUUCUCUAAAUGGUUUAUAAAUAAUUUUCCAGUGGCUAAAACACUAGCUUUAAAAUACAUGUAUUUUACCAACUAACUCAUUCAAUUCAGGAUAUAUGGUGUCCUUUUACAGGAUUAGUUGACUAUUCCAUUCACUAUAUUUCUAAGGGAAAAAAUGGGCAAAGUAUCAUUGAAAGAGAUGUUGACCAAAGGCUGCUUGAACAUCCUUUUGAACUGUGGGAGUCUGUCACAGAGCUCUUGGCCUAUAUUUUGGCUGUGGCACCCCUAGAAAUUGAAAUCUUGAUAUAUUAUAGCCUGAAGAGAUUUCAGUGUUUCUCGAAGCUUUUUCUGUAAUUUACUUGAGAAAUUCUUUUAAAUAAAAGGCUGAAGUUGGGAAAGACCUCCUGGACUAUUCUUUAAGUAUUCGUGUUAAAUGUUACCUUAUUAAAGGCACUGAGAUGUCUCAUAGUUAAAUCAUGUGUUAAUUUUUUUUAGUCCAGCAUAGGUCAUAGAGCCCUUUUCUUGUAUAACACUUUCUUCCAUGUACCAUCUUGAAGUUCUGGCUUAGAAAACCCUAAAAAUCUAGAAUGACACCAUUUUCACAAUUCAAAUUUUCCUCAUUUUUCUUUUUUUUAGAUUUUUUACUCUUAAGUUGUUUUGCUCACUAUUAGGAAAACUUACAGACAACAUUAGACAGAGCAACACUGAACUCCUUUGCAAAUUCAGUCACAUCAAAUAAUUUCCUCUUCCUUAAUGGAAAUUGUUCACAGGUAAUCACUAAGACUCAUUGUAUGGCAGAAGAUCCUGUGACUCUGUUCUGAAUGGAGGGUUUUUUUUUCUGUUUAAUGAUAUCUCUUUGAGUGCUAUCUUUCAAUUAGCUGGACCAACACUGCUGUGCUCUGUCUCUGUCCCAAAAGGAAUGCACUGAGCUGCCAUUUAAGCUUUUUACUGCCCUGAGGCUGCCAUGCUGGGAGGAAGUGCGGACUAUCUCAUGGAAAGACCACAAGGAGAAACCCCAAGACCACAUGGAGUUUGACAGAUGCCCAGCCAGCUCCCAGUUGCUCAGUCCCCACUCCCAGCGACCCAGCUCCAGCCUGCAUCCGACUGCAACUCUGUGCUGCACCCUAAGCCAGAGCUGCCCCAAGCCCUCCCCAGAUUCUUGACUCACACAGACUAUGAAGUGUAAUGGAAUGACUAUCAUCUUAAGCCACUAAGUAUGGGAGUAAAAUUGCAACAUGGCUAUAGGUACUGGAACAGAGGGGUACAAAGGUGGUAGUACAUGGUCUUUGGGCUAAAAGGGGCUUGGAAUACUGACGGGAAGACCAAAUAUGCAUAUAAGGAGAACAAAAGUGUGGAUGAAGGAAAGAGGCAGACCAAAAAGACUAGCAAUGGGCUAAACAUGGGAAUAGAUUGACUCAGGUUUUCAAACUGUUAUGGAGAAGCCACUUUCAAAUAUCAGACCUGUUGCCUGUUGUUGAAAGUCCCGACAGAACUUGAAGACCAAAGAUUGUCAAGGAAUGGGGCAACUUGUAAAUCCAGCUUCUGGUUUAUAGUUGGUUGUAAAAAUUCCUGUAAGUUUUAAGUAAUGUGAAAUUACAUUAGCAUUUCUAUGGAAAAACAAUAAUAAGCCUUUUCAUGCAUUAUCCUAUUUGAUCAUCAUAAAACCCCAAUAGAUUGUCAGUUGGUCCAACUUCCCAAUUUACUAGAUAAUUUUCUUGAAAAAAUUAAGAAAUACCCGGCUCAAGUUAAUCAGUUAAACAUGCGUGCCUACUAUGGGCAGAGAAGAAAUAUA